GACGAACGCCGGCGGCGUGCUUAACACAUGCAAGUCGAGCGGUAAGGCCCUUUCGGGGUACGACGAGCGGCGAACGGGUGAGUAACACGUGGGUGACCUGCCCUCCAGCUCUGGGAGUAAGCCUGGGAAACCGGGUCGUAAUAACUGGAUAUGACUCCAUGACGCAUGUUGUGGGGUGGAAAGCCUUGUGCGGCUGGGGAGUGGGCCCGCGGCCUAUCAGCUUGUUGGUGGGGUGAUGGCCUACCAAGGCGACGACGGGUAGCCGGCCUGAGAGGGCGACCGGCCACACUGGGACUGAGACACGGCCCAGACUCCUACGGGAGGCAGCAGUGGGGAAUCUUGCGCAAUGGGCGAAAGCCUGACGCAGCGACGCCGCGUGA
Molecule: ribosomal RNA, 380 nt
Filed under: uncultured bacterium
Lineage: Bacteria
Description: bacterial SSU rRNA
Rfam family: Bacterial small subunit ribosomal RNA
Source: RNAcentral